AGGAUUAUAGCUCAGCUGGUUAGAGCACCACCCUGAUAAGGUGGGGGUCGGUGGUUCGAAUCCACUUAAUCCUACCA
Molecule: transfer RNA, 77 nt
Filed under: Clostridiaceae bacterium
Lineage: Bacteria; Bacillati; Bacillota; Clostridia; Eubacteriales; Clostridiaceae
Also listed under: 1 other name
Description: tRNA-Ile
Rfam family: tRNA
About the family: Transfer RNA (tRNA) molecules are approximately 80 nucleotides in length.
Source: RNAcentral